UGAUUUUUAAUUUUUUAUUUAUUAAUUUAUAUAUUUAUAGAAAUAACUUUAUUUUUAGUAUUUUUUAAUGAAAUGAUAAUUUUUAUUUAUAGUUUAUUUAACUGUAAGGGUUAAUUAGUAUCUUUAUCUUGGAAGUAGAAUUUAUUUUUUGUACCUUUUGCAUCAGGGUUUAAUCAAGUUAAUAUUAAUUAUUUUAAAUUUCCCGAUUUUAGAGGAUAUAAUUAUAAAUUGUUAUUUAAUGUUUCAAAAUUAUUAAUAAAUUAUAAUUAGUUGUUAUAUGCUAUUCAUCUUUAAAUAUCUGGUUCUUUAAUAAGUGAAUUUAAUUCAGGAUUAUUAAGUAUAUAUUAAUUAAUUUUAUUAUUAAUAUUAUGUUAUAAUCUAAAUUUAAAGGGGAUAAGCUCUUUGGGAUUUUCUAUAAAAUCAAUUUAACUGUUAUAAAUUUUGUAGGAUUAGAAAUUUUCUUCAUAUAUUUUGUUAUAAUUAUAUUUAUUGUAAUUUUUAUUUAUUAAAAGUUUUUAGAUUUUUAUUAAGGGUUAUUAUAAAAUUGAAAAUUAAUAGUUAUAAUGAUAGAAUUAGUAUAUUUAAGAAUUAAUGUAUAGUAAUUCGGCAAAUUUAUUCUUCACCUGUUUAACAAAAACAUGUCUUGAUGUGAUAUUUUUAUUAAGUCUGGCCUGCUCAAUGAUUUCUGUAUAGAAUUAAAUAGCCGCAGUAUUUUGACUGUGCGAAGGUAGCAUAAUCAUUUGUCUUUUAAUUGAAGGCUUGUAUGAAUGGUUGGAUGAGGGAAUGACUUUCUUUACAUUAAAUAUUGAAUUUAAUAUUUCAGUUAAAAAGCUGGGAUUUUUAAGUGGGACGAGAAGACCCUAUAGAAUUUUACUUUGAUUGUUAUAAGUAUUAAAUUGUUAAUAUCAAAUACUUACAUAUUAUGGAGUUUUGUUGGGGUGACAAUGGGAUUUAUUUAACUCCCAUAUAUUUUUAUUUAUUAAUUUAUAUAUUAUAGAUCCCGUUUUAAGGAUAGUUAGAUUAAAUUACCUUAGGGAUAACAGCGUAAUUUUUUUGGAGAGUUCAUAUCAAUAGAAAAGUUUGCGACCUCGAUGUUGGAUUAAAAUUAGAUUUAAGUGCAGCAGCUUAAAUUUCUAGGUCUGUUCGACCUUUAAAUUUUUACAUGAUCUGAGUUCAGACCGGCGUAAGCCAGGUCGGUUUCUAUCUUCUUAUAUAUCAAUAUAAACUAGUACGAAAGGACCAUUUAUAUCAAAUAGUUUUGUAUUUUUGAAUAUUAUUAAAUUC
This 1284-nucleotide ribosomal RNA is filed under the name Picromerus lewisi. RNAcentral describes it as "16S ribosomal RNA". The stretch from base 844 to 1209 matches the Rfam family "Archaeal large subunit ribosomal RNA", at positions 2151 to 2715 of the family's 2987-position model. Lineage: Eukaryota; Metazoa; Arthropoda; Insecta; Hemiptera; Pentatomidae. The record is from RNAcentral.